UGCGGCUGGAUCCCCUCCUUUCCAGAGGCGCGCGUUCUGCGUGUCCAGUGUCCACACUUAUCGGUUUGUUUGCUGUUACAGCCAAGGGUCUGUAGCUCAGGUGGUUAGAGCACCGUCUUGAUAAGGCGGGGGUCGUAGGUUCAAGUCCUACCAGACCCACCAAGUUAUCCGAGGGGGAUUAGCUCAGCUGGGAGAGCACCUGCUUUGCAAGCAGGGGGUCGUCGGUUCGAUCCCGUCAUCCUCCACCAUCACUCUGCCGAGUGAGCACGGAUACCCUGGAAUUGGUGGUCAAAGGAAAGCAUUUGAUGAGUGCUUCCCUUUGGCAUUGCCAAGCGAUCGUGGGUCUGACCUGCGGAUCGGCUGUUCUUUAACAAUAUGGGAUGUAGUAAAGGUGUCGCGCGAGCGUUGAUGAGACGCUGCAGUACCCAACGCGAUACCGGGUUGUGAUUGUAUCAACCAAAGUAUUUAAGUGAUCGAAAGAUGACUUGGAAUACGGCACAAAUGCGAGAACUCACCUGUAGCAGGAUGUCUCACUGAGACACACUUGUUAUAGGGUCAAGCGAACAAGUGCAUGUGGUGGAUGCCUUGGCGAUCACAGGCGAUGAAGGACGCGGUAGCCUGCGAAAAGCUUCGGGGAGCUGGCAAACGAGCUUUGAUCCGGAGAUGUCCGAAUGGGGAAACCCGG
Molecule: unclassified non-coding RNA, 685 nt
Filed under: uncultured bacterium
Lineage: Bacteria
Description: partial contains 16S ribosomal RNA, 16S-23S ribosomal RNA intergenic spacer, and 23S ribosomal RNA
Rfam family: Bacterial large subunit ribosomal RNA (bases 554-685)
Source: RNAcentral